RNAcentral lists this ribosomal RNA (502 nucleotides) under uncultured bacterium. RNAcentral's name for it is "bacterial SSU rRNA". It matches the Rfam family "Bacterial small subunit ribosomal RNA", at positions 791 to 1294 of the family's 1533-position model. The record is from RNAcentral.
UAGUCCACGCCCUAAACGAUGUUCACUCGAUGUUUGGCCCUUGCGGUUGAGCAUCCAAGCGAAAGCGAUAAGUGAACCACCUGGGGAGUACGUUCGCAAGAAUGAAACUCAAAUGAAUUGACGGGGGCCCGCACAAGCGGUGGAGCAUGUGGUUUAAUUCGAUGCAACGCGAAGAACCUUACCUACUCUUGACAUCCAGAGAAGCUUGAAGAGAUUCGAGUGUGCCUUCGGGAACUCUGAGACAGGUGCUGCAUGGCUGUCGUCAGCUCGUGUUGUGAAAUGUUGGGUUAAGUCCCGCAACGAGCGCAACCCUUAUCCUUGUUUGCCAGCACGUAAUGGUGGGAACUCCAGGGAGACUGCCGGUGAUAAACCGGAGGAAGGUGGGGACGACGUCAAGUCAUCAUGGCCCUUACGAGUAGGGCUACACACGUGCUACAAUGGCGUAUACAGAGGGCUGCCAACUCGCGAGAGUGAGCGAAUCCCAGAAAGUACGUCGUAGUCC